Long non-coding RNA from Stegodyphus dumicola, 713 nucleotides. The record is from RefSeq and is a predicted model, not a curated record. NCBI's taxonomy places the organism in Eukaryota, Metazoa, Arthropoda, Arachnida, Araneae, Eresidae.
GCUGAAGGAGCAAUCAGGCGUCUCGCUUGAAAGAAUUUGAUUUUGAUAAUUGUAAUAGUACCAGAUGGUAUUAAAAAAACAUUCUGUUCUGGUGCAGAAUACAAAUGAAGGAAAAAAUUGAGAAAUGAAGUUAAUCAAAGCUACCAAUGCCUUCAUCACGACUCGAGGAAUGAUGAAUGUUGAUGGUUUUCUAGUUAAUGUGUGGGGCUAAUACCUACUAACUUAAGAUCACGAGAGGCUAUAGAUCUCAAUGGCUAUCGUUGCAGCAAGGCGGGGACACAUUACAUUUGGCCAGAGAGUCCGUGACUGUCAUUUAGCAAAUGUUUUUCCAGCCAUGCGAUUUUUGAAGAAAGAGGUUCUACAACCAGCAUGUUCUCCAGGUUCAUCUACAUGGAAUUAACUUUACGGGUGUCUAAAAUAUGCAUCAGUGAACCUAGGAACAUAAACAAACUCAAGGUAAUAUUUCAGGAACCAGUUGCGACAAUACCAAAGUGAUCAAAGAGUGAUGCAAAGUAUGCAUGAUAAACUAGAGAAGUAUAACACGAAUGUUAAAGAACACUUGAAAAAUGUGUUUUUUAAAAAUAACUGGAGAGAAUAAUGGCAUCGUAUUGUUUUUUCUUUUAGGUGAAAUACUUGAUUUAUAUUUCAUGAUGUUAAUUUCGAUCUCAAAGCAUUAUAUUCUCAUGCCCACCUUAUAAAUAUCCUAUCAGCAA